GUUGGUCCCCUCAACUGGUUGU
Molecule: microRNA, 22 nt
Filed under: Xenoturbella bocki
Lineage: Eukaryota; Metazoa; Xenacoelomorpha; Xenoturbellidae
Description: Xbo-Mir-133_3p (mature (guide))
Source: RNAcentral